UAGAGGGUGUGUGUGUGUGUGUGUGUGUGUGUGUGUGUGUGUCCGCGCCAGGGUCGAGGGGACUGCGGGCAGCGGUGUGAGUGUGUGUGCCCGGCGGAGCGGGGCUCUGAGCCGGACGGCUCCCCGCCCGCGAGCUCACAGGUGUUGCCUGUCUUGCUUUGGGGAGGUUCUGGGGAGACCCUUACACCGCCCCGGCCCUCGUAGGCCCAUUUCCCGAGCGAGGACGCCCCGCAGCCUUGUGUGUGUGCUAAGGGCCAUUCAAGGCCUCCGAGCUGCAGCGCGUUCUGCAGCGCGUUCUGCAGCGCCGGCGAAGCACUGUCUCUCAUCUGUCAGGUGCAACUCACCUGCGGGCGGGCCUGCACACCGCAGGACUCCGGGCAGAUCUAUGCUGCCGUGUGCACUGGGCAAUCUGAACCAAUUAGUUGCUUAAUCUCUCCGAGCCAAGGUUCCUAAACUGUGAACUAGAGGCGACAGUAAAAAUAAAUAAGACACGGUUUUGAGGGAUUAAUAUGUGCCAGUCUAAGAGCUUUACAUAUAUUAAUUCACUUACUCUUCACAACAUAUUUUUAGCCUCAUUUUGCAGACACGGAAUUGAAUCAAAAGGAGGUUAAGAAACUCGCUCAAGAUCACAUAACUGGUGAAUGGCAGACCUGCCUCUGAGAGGUGGCUCUAAGAUUUGAUUACGUUAAUACGAGAGGAGCACUUAGCCUAGGGCCUGGAACACAGAAAGUCUCGAUGAAUGAAGCGGCCGGCACUCGAAGUGAUGAUGGAUCUGGGUGGUAAGGGGGUUGUCCCCAGGAUCGUGCCAAAGACCAUGGACUCCUGCUUGAGCCCCUCGAACCGGCGGCACGCAGGUGCUGCCCCAUGGUACAGCAUCUCUGGAGCUGCAAAGGAGGCGCUGAAGUCCUGGCUGCCGGUCCCCCACAGCCCAGCUCAAGCUUGGGAACGGCUGACCCUGCUGUUUUCAUCAGGAAGUUUCUGCAGGAUCGUUCUGGCCCCAGUUUCCAUGCCGCUUAUGGGAAAGACAGAGAAUGUUCCCUAUCUAUACGGUGGGGUGUGUAUGUGUGUCUGACGAUCUUUGAUGUUUUUUUAGUAUUGUUCCCCUAAAAUCCAUGUCAACAAAAGGCUCGUUUCUUUAUCUGAAACGAAGCGUACUCUUGAAAACUUAAUAAUAAAUUCGUAUUGUAUGCUAUCUGA
This is a long non-coding RNA of Pteropus alecto (black flying fox), 1197 nucleotides long. RefSeq lists it as uncharacterized. The transcript is spliced from 3 exons. The record is from RefSeq and is a predicted model, not a curated record. Lineage: Eukaryota; Metazoa; Chordata; Mammalia; Chiroptera; Pteropodidae.